CUUCCUACGGGACGCAGCAGUGGGGAAUCUUGCACAAUGGGCGAAAGCCUGAUGCAGCAACGCCGCGUGAGCGAAGAAGGCCUUUGAGCCGUAAAGCUCUGUCCUAAGGGAGGAAGGAAGUGACGGUACCUUAGGAGGAAGCCCCGGCUAACUACGUGCCAGCAGCCGCGGUAAUACGUAGGGGGCAAGCGUUAUCCGGAAUUAUUGGGCGUAAAGAGUACGUAGGCGGUUCUUUAAGCGCAGGGUUUAAGGCGAUAGCUUAACUAUCGUUCGCCCGGUGAACUGGGGGACUUGAGUAUCGGAGG
This 305-nucleotide ribosomal RNA is filed under the name uncultured bacterium. RNAcentral describes it as "bacterial SSU rRNA". It matches the Rfam family "Bacterial small subunit ribosomal RNA", at positions 335 to 655 of the family's 1533-position model. The record is from RNAcentral.